This 152-nucleotide small nucleolar RNA is filed under the name Penicillium coprophilum. The record is from RNAcentral. Lineage: Eukaryota; Fungi; Ascomycota; Eurotiomycetes; Eurotiales; Aspergillaceae.
AUUCGGGCUGAUAACUAGGCGGCCGGUCUCAAUUACCUACGACGUCUGCCUUUUAAGUGUCCGAUAUAUCAAUUUGCGAAGAUCUUACACGUUUCCAAAGCGCUGUUAUGGCUUUUUCAGUAUUUGACGACUUUUAAAUCUUCACAACAUGC